This is an RNA transcript of Peromyscus maniculatus bairdii (prairie deer mouse), 2456 nucleotides long. It is a transcript of the gene named centrosomal protein 72, with no coding region annotated. The record is from RefSeq and is a predicted model, not a curated record. NCBI's taxonomy places the organism in Eukaryota, Metazoa, Chordata, Mammalia, Rodentia, Cricetidae.
UACAGCCGGUGAGGUGGCAUGGGUGAAACUGCCUCAGAGAAAGUUUUGGAUUCAGCCCAAGCUCCGCCCUCCCCCUCCGGGGUCCGCCCCUUGCAGAGUUGGUCCGGUCCAUCCACUUCGCCACACUGCGCAGGCGCCGCGCGAGGGCGUCCAGUUUGAAAACAUGGCGCCGGGACAGCGGUUGGUUUUGUGCGAGGAGACUGUCCGGGAGCGCAGCGGCCUGGGUCCCCACCGGGACCUGGCUGAGCUUCGAUCUCUGUCUAUUCCUGGAACAUACCAAGAGAAGAUUACUCACCUGGGGAACUCUCUGAUGCGUUUGACAGCUCUAAAAUCCUUAGAUCUCUCACGUAACUCCUUGGUUAGUCUUGAGGGCAUUCAGCAUCUGGUCUUCUUGGAGAAUCUCAAUCUCUACUACAACUGUAUUUCUUCAUUAGCAGAAGUAUUUAGGCUCCACUCCCUGACAGAGCUCCAGGAUGUGGACUUCCGGCUUAACCCUGUUGUGAAGAAUGAGUCAGACUAUCGCCUAUUUGUUGUGCACAUGCUCCCCAAGCUCCGACAGCUAGAUGACCGUCCUGUGAGAGAGAGUGAGCGGAAGGCUUCUCAGCUUCAUUUUGCUUCAGAGGAUUCACUGGACUCAAAGCAGAGCUGCUCAGCUUUAACAGUUGGAAGACCACACCACUCCAGAACCAGAUGUGCUGGUACUUCAGCUAAGAAAUGCUUGGUUAUGGAUGCUGAUGAUGAAGCUGUCUUGAACCUCAUUGCUGAGUGUGAAUGGGACCUAAGCAAUCCUCCUGGGAGCACGAACUCCAGCCAAAAGGAACAUGAGGCUGACCUUCAUUAUUCCCAAGACUCCGGACAUCUAUUGAGUCCUUUGUCCAUCCAGCAUCAAUGUGGGGACUCAGUGAGGAGAGGCCAUGAGAAGAAGAAAGGCACCUCCAGAGGGUGCUGUCCAGGUCAUUCACCACAGGACCAGCUCUGUGGGGAGCUCACCCCACAGCAUGGAGUGCUGGAGGCCUGCCAUGUGCAUGUGCCACACACCCGCUUUACUUCACACCCAGACUCUAUGGAUGUUGAGGACUGUGGUUCAUCUUCUCAGAAAUCAAGUUUGUCAUCACAGAAUAUUUUAAAUUCUUUGCCUGUUCCUGAAAAGUACAGGAAGCGAAGGAUGCCUGGUGGGAGAUUCCAGGUGCCUUCAGACCGGGAGUGUCUGAGCUGCCUAGAGAGGGCUGAUGUACCCUCUGGCCUCAAGGAAAAUCUGAGCAGACAGGAUGGCAUGGAGAGCCACAGUCAGGUGGCCUUGUCUCAUCCUGAGUCUUUGGAGGCUGAAGAGCAGACAUCUCAUGGCACAAGUGACCCCAGAGUGCUGUCUCCUAAACUUGGCGUGGCUGCAGUGCCUGAGCAGAGGCCUGCUCUGGAAGUGGCACUCCUGGAGGCACUCCUCGACCUAAUAGACAGGUGCUCAAGCGGCAGUGGAUCCCUGCAUGGCAACGAGGCAUUCCUUGCUCAGGCCAGGCAUGUUUUGUCAUCUCUUCAAGACUUCACAGCAGCUCGGGACAGUUCGGCACUUGAAAAGGAAGAAAUUAGUUACCUCUCUCUUGAAAAUAAGUCUCUGCAAAGCCGCCUCGCUGAGCAGCAGCAGCAGUACACUGCUGCGGUGAACAAGGUGACGGCGGAACUCAACAGUUCAAGGAAGGAGCUGGACACAUUGAGGCAACAUUUAGACAAAUCUUUGGAAGAGAAUAGUAACUUAAAAUCUCUUCUAUUCAGCGUGAAAAAAGAAGUAAAAAAUUCAGACACAUCAGCUGCAUUAACUUUGCAGAUCACUGGACUUCAGGCAAGUAUGAAACAGCUCUCAGGGGAAGUUGUGGAGCUGAAGCAGCACUUGGAGCACUAUGACAAGAUCCAGGAGCUCACACAGAUGCUGCAAGAGAGUCACAGUUCCCUAGUCAGCACCAAUGAACAUCUCCUGCAGGAGUUGAGCCGUACGCGGGCACAACAUAGAGCUGAGGUAGAGCAGAUGCACUGGAGCUUCCAGGAGUUUAAGAAGACUGCUGCCCUCUUCCCACACCAUAGCUCUCCACUUGGUGGCCGCCAGUCCUGCUAGUUCCUACUGGCCUGUGCUCUCCUCCAUCAGUUACAGCUCCAGAGUUGUGCCUGGGCAGUAACUGUGCAAAUAAACACUGUUUCAGCCAAAACCAGGGGAAGACUUAUAUACAGUGUGCAGAAUGAAACAUGGAUGACUGCAUAUGUAAAAAGUGCUCACUGGAAUAGGCAAGUUUAACCACCAGGAAGAUACCCCUUGUAGAGUGAAGCCCGCGCAGACAGAUGCUCUUAUGCACCAGUGCUGGUGCUGCUGAGUACAGUCCCUCUGGAGACUGCCUGGGAUUGUCUAGAAAGCUAUUGUGAAUAUGUUGAAAGAAACAUGAACAUAAUGGAAAUAAAGCCUUACUAACAAA